This 609-nucleotide ribosomal RNA is filed under the name Phaeobacter gallaeciensis. RNAcentral describes it as "bacterial SSU rRNA". It matches the Rfam family "Bacterial small subunit ribosomal RNA", at positions 91 to 735 of the family's 1533-position model. Lineage: Bacteria; Pseudomonadati; Pseudomonadota; Alphaproteobacteria; Rhodobacterales; Roseobacteraceae. The record is from RNAcentral.
GGGAGCGGCGGACGGGUUAGUAACGCGUGGGAACGUACCCUUUUCUAAGGAAUAGCCACUGGAAACGGUGAGUAAUGCCUUAUACGCCCUUCGGGGGAAAGAUUUAUCGGAGAAGGAUCGGCCCGCGUUAGAUUAGAUAGUUGGUGGGGUAAUGGCCUACCAAGUCUACGAUCUAUAGCUGGUUUUAGAGGAUGAUCAGCAACACUGGGACUGAGACACGGCCCAGACUCCUACGGGAGGCAGCAGUGGGGAAUCUUGGACAAUGGGCGCAAGCCUGAUCCAGCCAUGCCGCGUGAGUGAUGAAGGCCUUAGGGUCGUAAAGCUCUUUCGCCAGGGAUGAUAAUGACAGUACCUGGUAAAGAAACCCCGGCUAACUCCGUGCCAGCAGCCGCGGUAAUACGGAGGGGGUUAGCGUUGUUCGGAAUUACUGGGCGUAAAGCGCACGUAGGCGGAUCAGAAAGUUGGGGGUGAAAUCCCGGGGCUCAACCCCGGAACUGCCUCCAAAACUCCUGGUCUUGAGUUCGAGAGAGGUGAGUGGAAUUCCGAGUGUAGAGGUGAAAUUCGUAGAUAUUCGGAGGAACACCAGUGGCGAAGGCGGCUCACUGGCUC